This is a non-coding RNA of Aedes aegypti (yellow fever mosquito), 46 nucleotides long. NCBI's taxonomy places the organism in Eukaryota, Metazoa, Arthropoda, Insecta, Diptera, Culicidae. The record is from Rfam.
CAAAUGGUCCUUUUCAGGACCACCAAAAAGAGUUAAUUUCUGAAAA